GACGAACGCUGGCGGCGUGCUUAACACAUGCAAGUCGAACGGUAAGGCCCUUCGGGGUACACGAGUGGCGAACGGGUGAGUAACACGUGGGUGAUCUGCCCUGCACUUCGGGAUAAGCCUGGGAAACUGGGUCUAAUACCGGAUAGGACUCCUGGCUUCAUGGUUGAGGGUGGAAAGCUUUUGCGGUGUGGGAUGGGCCCGCGGCCUAUCAGCUUGUUGGUGGGGUAAUGGCCUACCAAGGCGACGACGGGUAGCCGGCCUGAGAGGGUGACCGGCCACACUGGGACGGAGAAACGGCCCAGACUCCUACGGGAGGCAGCAGGGGGUAAUAUUGCACAAUGGGCGCAAGCCUGAUGCAGCGACGCCGCGUGAGAGAUGACGGCCUUCGGGUUGUAAACCUCUUUCAGCACCGACGAAGCGCAAGUGACGGUAGGUGCAGAAGAAGGACCGGCCAACUACGUGCCAGCCGCCGCCGUAA
This 478-nucleotide ribosomal RNA is filed under the name uncultured bacterium. Its description in RNAcentral is "partial 16S ribosomal RNA". It matches the Rfam family "Bacterial small subunit ribosomal RNA", at positions 28 to 523 of the family's 1533-position model. The record is from RNAcentral.